This 86-nucleotide small RNA is filed under the name Enterobacter hormaechei. Its description in RNAcentral is "OmrA-B family". It matches the Rfam family "OmrA-B family". RNAcentral also lists the same sequence under 2 other names. Lineage: Bacteria; Pseudomonadati; Pseudomonadota; Gammaproteobacteria; Enterobacterales; Enterobacteriaceae. The record is from RNAcentral.
CCCAGAGGUAUUGAUUGGUGAGAAUUCCUGGUACGUUUUCGUACUCUUCUCUUGCACCAACCUGCGCGGAUGCGCAGGUUUUUUUU